Molecule: small RNA, 569 nt
Filed under: Pongo abelii (Sumatran orangutan)
Lineage: Eukaryota; Metazoa; Chordata; Mammalia; Primates; Hominidae
Description: processed transcript
Source: RNAcentral
AGCAGACGUUGGCGGCCGGGCUGCCAGGAGCAGUUCCGCCGGGUUUCACUGUCCGUGACUUCCUUCAGGGCACCUCAGGCAGCAAACCAAGAUGGAGUAUGAGUGGAAACCUGACGAGCAAGGGCUUCAGCAAAUCCUGCAGCUGUUGAAGGAGUCCCAGUCCCCAGACACCACCAUCCAGAGAACCGUGCAACAAAUUACACAGAGAAGUUUCCUUAACUACUGUUUGUUCUAGAAACUGGAACAACUUAAUCAAUAUCCAGACUUUAACAACUACUUGAUUUUUGUUCUUACAAAAUUAAAAUCUGAAGAUGAACCCACAAGAUCAUUGAGUGGUCUCAUCUUGAAGAAUAAUGUGAAAGCACACUUUCAGAACUUCCCAAAUGGUGUAACAGACUUUAUUAAAAGUGAAUGUUUAAAUAAUAUUGGUGACUCCUCUCCUCUGAUUAGAGCCACUGUUGGUAUUUUGAUCACAACUAUAGCCUCCAAGGGAGAAUUGCAGAAUUGGCCUGAUCUCUUACCAAAACUCUGUAGCCUGUUGGAUUCUGAAGAUUAUAAUACCUGUGAGG